This 156-nucleotide ribosomal RNA is filed under the name Cercospora cf. helianthicola MUCC 716. RNAcentral's name for it is "partial 18S ribosomal RNA". It matches the Rfam family "Eukaryotic small subunit ribosomal RNA", at positions 1678 to 1831 of the family's 1831-position model. RNAcentral also lists the same sequence under 1 other name. Lineage: Eukaryota; Fungi; Ascomycota; Dothideomycetes; Mycosphaerellales; Mycosphaerellaceae. The record is from RNAcentral.
GCUACUACCGAUUGAAUGGCUCAGUGAGGCCUUCGGACUGGCCCAGGGAGGUCGGCAACGACCACCCAGGGCCGGAAAGUUGGUCAAACUCGGUCAUUUAGAGGAAGUAAAAGUCGUAACAAGGUCUCCGUAGGUGAACCUGCGGAGGGAUCAUUA